CCAAGGUUUCCGUAGGGGAACCUUGCGGAA
This 30-nucleotide ribosomal RNA is filed under the name Microbotryum scolymi. RNAcentral's name for it is "partial 18S ribosomal RNA". Lineage: Eukaryota; Fungi; Basidiomycota; Microbotryomycetes; Microbotryales; Microbotryaceae. The record is from RNAcentral.